This 240-nucleotide unclassified non-coding RNA is filed under the name soil metagenome. RNAcentral describes it as "partial contains 5.8S ribosomal RNA, internal transcribed spacer 2, and large subunit ribosomal RNA". The record is from RNAcentral.
AACCAUUCUCACCUGCGGCUAGACCUGCGGAAGGAUCAUUACACAAUAAACAUAUGAAGGCUGCACCGCCAACAGGCGGCAAGGCUGGAGUAUUUUAUUACCCUUGUCUUUUGCGCACUUGUUGUUUCCUGGGCGGGUUCGCCCGCCUCCAGGACCACAUGAUAAACCUUUUUUAUGCAGUUGCAAUCAGCGUCAGUACAACAAAUGUAAAUCAUUUACAACUUUUAACAAUGGAUCUCA